RNAcentral lists this ribosomal RNA (265 nucleotides) under uncultured bacterium. RNAcentral's name for it is "partial 16S ribosomal RNA". It matches the Rfam family "Bacterial small subunit ribosomal RNA", at positions 92 to 353 of the family's 1533-position model. The record is from RNAcentral.
CGAGUGGCGAACGGGUGAGUAACGCGUGAGGAACCUGCCUCAAAGAGGGGGACAACAGUUGGAAACGACUGCUAAUACCGCAUAAGCCCACGGGUCGGCAUCGACCAGAGGGAAAAGGAGCAAUCCGCUUUGAGAUGGUCUCGCGUCCGAUUAGCUAGUUGGUGAGGUAAUGGCCCACCAAGGCGACGAUCGGUAGCCGGACUGAGAGGUUGAACGGCCACAUUGGGACUGAGACACGGCCCAGACUCCUACGGGAGGCAGCAUG